Molecule: ribosomal RNA, 467 nt
Filed under: uncultured bacterium
Lineage: Bacteria
Description: bacterial SSU rRNA
Rfam family: Bacterial small subunit ribosomal RNA
Source: RNAcentral
AUGAACGCUGGCGGCGUGCCUAAUACAUGCAAGUCGAACGAGGCUCUUUGUACUUGUACGAAGAUGUCCUAGUGGCGAACGGGUGAGUAACGCGUUGGUGACCUGCCCCGAAGUGGGGGACAACAGUCCGAAAGGACUGCUAAUACCCCAUGUGGUCGCAAGGGUUAAAGGCCUUGCGACCAAAGGAGUAAUCCGCUUUGGGAGGGGCCUGCGUCCCAUCAGCUAGUUGGUAGGGUAAUGGCCUACCAAGGCUCAGACGGGUAGGGGACCUGAGAGGGUGACCCCCCACACUGGAACUGAAACACGGUCCAGACACCUACGGGUGGCAGCAGUAGGGAAUAUUGCACAAUGGACGAAAGUCUGAUGCAGCAACGCCGCGUGUGCGAUGAAGGCCUUCGGGUUGUAAAGCACUUUUAUGAGGGAAGAGCAAGGACUGUACCUCAUGAAUAAGGAUCGGCUAACUACGU